RNAcentral lists this ribosomal RNA (610 nucleotides) under uncultured bacterium. RNAcentral describes it as "bacterial SSU rRNA". The stretch from base 1 to 535 matches the Rfam family "Bacterial small subunit ribosomal RNA", at positions 338 to 873 of the family's 1533-position model. The record is from RNAcentral.
CCUACGGGAGGCAGCAGUAAGGAAUAUUGGUCAAUGGACGCAAGUCUGAACCAGCCAUGCCGCGUGCAGGAUGACGGCCCUCUGGGUUGUAAACUGCUUUUAUAGGGGACGAAAAAAGGGCUUUCUAGCUCGUCUGACGGUACCCUAGGAAUAAGCACCGGCUAACUCCGUGCCAGCAGCCGCGGUAAUACGGAGGGUGCAAGCGUUAUCCGGAUUUACUGGGUUUAAAGGGUGCGUAGGUGGGUCGGUAAGUCAGCGGUGAAAUCUUCGAGCUUAACUCGGAAACUGCCAUUGAUACUAUCGAUCUUGAAUCAUCUGGAGGUAAGCGGAAUAUGUCAUGUAGCGGUGAAAUGCUUAGAUAUGACAUAGAACACCAAUUGCGAAGGCAGCUUACUACGGAUGCAUUGACACUGAGGCACGAAAGCGUGGGGAUCAAACAGGAUUAGAUACCCUGGUAGUCCACGCCCUAAACGAUGGAUACUCGACAUUUGAGAUAUACUUUAAGUGUCUGAGCGAAAGCAUUAAGUAUCCCACCUGGAAGUACGAGCGNGAGAUAGAAGUACAAGAGUAGUAGAGNGAGAGAGCGACGACGACGACGAGGAGGGAGGAG